RNAcentral lists this transfer RNA (77 nucleotides) under Candidatus Faecinaster equi. RNAcentral's name for it is "tRNA-Arg". It matches the Rfam family "tRNA". Rfam says of the family: Transfer RNA (tRNA) molecules are approximately 80 nucleotides in length. Their secondary structure includes four short double-helical elements and three loops (D, anti-codon, and T loops). Further hydrogen bonds mediate the characteristic L-shaped molecular structure. tRNAs have two regions of fundamental functional importance: the anti-codon, which is responsible for specific mRNA codon recognition, and the 3' end, to which the tRNAs corresponding amino acid is attached (by aminoacyl-tRNA synthetases). tRNAs cope with the degeneracy of the genetic code in two manners: having more than one tRNA (with a specific anti-codon) for a particular amino acid; and 'wobble' base-pairing, i.e. permitting non-standard base-pairing at the 3rd anti-codon position. Lineage: Bacteria; Pseudomonadati; Bacteroidota; Bacteroidia; Bacteroidales; Bacteroidaceae. The record is from RNAcentral.
GCGGAUGUAGCUCAGUUGGAUAGAGCAAUGGAUUUCUAAUCCAUGUGUCGGAAGUUUGAAUCUCUCCAUCCGUACCA